UGGGGAAUAUUGCACAAUCGGCGCAAGCCUGAUGCAGCAACGCCGCGUGAACGAUGAAGGUCCUCGGAUCGUAAAGUUCUGUUGCAGGGGCAGAUAAUGACGGUACCCUGUGAGGAAGCCCCGGCUAACUACGUGCCAGCAGCCGCGGUAAUACGUAGGGGGCUAGCGUUAUCCGGAUUUAUUGGGCGUAAAGCGCGCGCAGGUGGUUUAGAAAGUCUGAUGUGAAAGCCCACGGCUCAACCGUGGAGGGUCAUUGGAAACUAAUAAACUUGAGUGCAGGAGAGAAAAGUGGAAUUCCUAGGGUAGCGGUGAAAUGCGUAGAGAUUAGGAGGAAGACCGGUGGCGAAAGCGGCUUUUUGGCCUGCAACUGACACUGAGGCGCGAAAGCGUGGGGAGCGAACAGG
RNAcentral lists this ribosomal RNA (404 nucleotides) under Verrucomicrobiota bacterium. RNAcentral describes it as "Verrucomicrobia bacterium partial 16S ribosomal RNA". It matches the Rfam family "Bacterial small subunit ribosomal RNA", at positions 355 to 776 of the family's 1533-position model. The record is from RNAcentral. Lineage: Bacteria; Pseudomonadati; Verrucomicrobiota.